AGUGGAGUUGCUGGAUCAUACAAUCAUUUCAAAUAUUUUGAGGAAUUGCCACACUAUUUUCCAUAGUAGUUGCAUCAUUCUGCAUUACCACCAGAAGU
This 98-nucleotide microRNA precursor is filed under the name Marmota monax (woodchuck). Lineage: Eukaryota; Metazoa; Chordata; Mammalia; Rodentia; Sciuridae. The record is from RNAcentral.